RNAcentral lists this long non-coding RNA (409 nucleotides) under Oryza sativa Indica Group (long-grained rice). Its description in RNAcentral is "lncRNA OsZS97_10G014300". Lineage: Eukaryota; Viridiplantae; Streptophyta; Magnoliopsida; Poales; Poaceae. The record is from RNAcentral.
UAUUAUUAUUCAGGUUCGUAGUUCAAUUGUUCGUUUACGUUUUAUUUGGGAAAACGAGGAAAAACAAGAUGACUCUACGGUUAUUAUCAAGACACAGCAUAUGGUUAUUCCUGGGAUCAUAAUCUCAAUCACUGGUAGAGAAGAGGCUGUUAUGAUAGCAAACGCCACUUUCUUUAAUAACAAGAAGAGUCAACUUAACUUUUGGGUGAGCUUUCCAAAUUCUACCGGAUAUGAACAAGAACGUUAUGUUCCCUUUAGUGAAGUGGUUCUUGAGGAUGAGUUCUUCUGCACAUUUACUCUUAAGCCAAUUGAAGGCGGGCAACUGCAAGCAUGGACCGUGAAGUCACUUCUAUCUGGUAUCCUCCGUAGAAAGACUAGAACUCUUGUCUCCAACGGAGAGCAUUGCUGA